CAGCCGUGCCCGGCCCGGCUCUGCCCCGCCCCGCCUGCUCGCUUGCCGCGCCGCGUCCGCGCGCCGGGCACCGGCCGGCAGCAGCGGCACCUCCGCUCCGCGCCGCCGCACAGUGCGCAGGCGCGGCUUUGGUGGCGGUGCUGAGGCCGGAAAGGCGGGAGCGGGGCGGGGCGGUGGCAGGUGGCGGGCGCGCACCUGAGGGGUGGCGUGUGCGUCGUGCGGUGCCGGCUGUCCUGGCAGAGGGACCGGCCCCACGGCAGGAACUGUUGAGCUUCGCUUAACUUGUUUUGUGUGUACUUCACAAAGGGGUUCUGUUCUGAGGGGUGGUGGCCUCCGCGCACGCUCCCAGUCCCGUUCUGUACGGCCCCCGAAGCACGCAGGGAGGGCAGGAACUGCUCCAUAUCGCAGCAGGCCUGGGGCAGUCCUCACCCUCCUCCAGGGGCCCGCUGGGGUGGCCGUGCGGCGGCUGUGUCGGUUCGGUGAGCGGCUGCUGGGCGUUCCUCCCGCCCGCCGCGGCGCCCCCGGCAGUGCCCGCUGUGGCAGCGCAGUGAGGCGCCGCGCCCGGUGGCCGUGCGGGUGUCCGCCCGCCCCCAGCAGGCGCCCGGAGCUCGGUCGGCUUUGGCUUAUGGUUAAUUUUAGCUCCAUUGGUUCGGCUGUGCCUUUGCAUGAAUACUUGUGCCUGUACAGACGAUGGUAGAAACAAGCAGCUGAUGAUGGAGAAAAUGCAGGGUUAAAAAUUCACCGAAUCUGGAGUCGGGAAGGAAUUUCCCUCAUGAGCAUAAUGUCAGCAACAUAAUCAGGGCUUGGGAACAAUCUGUUAGCACACAGAGAAAGGAUUAUGGUAGGACCAGGAUGCAGACAAAGCAAAGAGGAUGAUUCUUAGCAUGGUUUUGAGCAACACAGAAAACAAAUGUACAGAUAAGAAGUAUUCACCAACAGUAACCAGUAAGCUGUGUUUGCUCUUAAAGAUGGGAGGACUGUUGACUCAUCACAGCUUGAAUAUAACUCCAAUUAACAGUAGGAGCUAUGAACACAUUAAACAAGAAAAGCAGGCUUGUUAUCUUUGUACUGUAACUGGAUAAAAUAUAGCAGGAAGCAAGUGUUGGAAUUUCUAGAAAAAAAAGCAAGAGGUCAGAAACUCCUGAAUUUACAUUCCUGGCUCAUUGACUGAUUCAUUGCGCUCUCCCUAAAGCAAAUUGCCUGACUCACCUGACUGAUUUUCUUCACCUGUAAAAUGGUAGAGUGUAUGCCAGCUGCAGAGUUAACACUGGUAGAGAAUUCUUGUUUAUCAAGUAUAUCAGGAUUAUUAAUGAAAGAAGAAAAAUAAGUUCAAAGCAGACCAGUUUAACACCAAUUUGACAUCAAAUUACAGACUUGUGUACGCCCAGAAAUAGCUGUUUCAACCCAGAUACGUAUUGUACUAGUGUAAAAUAGGGCAUGAACUGGCAUGACUUAGCUCAGACCUGAAAUAGGAUUAAAGUAGACUGUAGCAAUAAUUUUAUGAUAAUAUCUAUUUUAUGUUUAGUCAAUCUAGUGUUGAAAUACUCAGAUUUCUGGCAUGACUCAAUGAGUCCUUUCUUCUUCCAUUACUUAAAGCAGGUUCCCAAACACCCUUGCAGUUAAACUUCUGUUUCCUGCCUUAAAUUUUUUCAUUACCCCCCACUCCUCCUGGUUGCCCACUCUUUACCCAGCUUGCCCUUCCCAUCUCAACUUCCCUCAUUUUCUUGCUCCAAUCUCUUGCCUUUUUUUUUUUUCCUGUUUAAAUCAGAUGUUUUUUUCUUUCAUGCUGAUUAAAUGUCAGCAAGGGAUGAGAGGAUCACUGAAAGAUUAGUGACUGCUCUCAGCUUCCUUACCAAACACAGCAUAAGCUGUGGAAGAUAGGGAAGGUUCUUCACAGGGAAGAUUCUUCAACAGUGUAGUUCGGGUUCAUGCCUACUAUUUCUCUCUAAAUGGCAUCUACACAGUCUAGUCAUGCAUGAGAGAUUUAUCUGAGCAUGGGAUACUCCAAAGUCUCACGUGUCUCUAUCAAACACAUAAAAUGCCAUUCUACAAAGUCUCAUAAUUUGGAUAAAUGUCAGAUUUUCAUAGGACUUGCAAAGCCAUAUCUUUGAUACUAAGGCUUCUUUCUAAGAAAUCCCAGCUCCCUACGAAAUCCCAGCUCCCUACCCAAAGGUAGGGACUGUCUACCAGUGAGAUGAGAAUGCGUGAGUUGUUAGAUGCAGGGAUUACCCAGUUUCCUUGCACUAGGCUUGGACUACACAAACAAUAGUCACAAUGAAAACAAGGGACAAACUGUAAACUUGGUAUAAGAGGAAGCAAUUGACUCGUUUUUUCUUGAAGAGUAAAGACUCUUUCUUCCCCACAACCUUCUCUGUUCUUUUUCUUGAUAUAUUUUCACAGCCCUCCCCCCCCCAAAAAAAAGACACCAGCUGACUAGUAGGAUGAUACCGUGUCGUGUCAGUAGUGCCUCAGAUGUCUCUUCAGCACAUCCUUCAGUGUGACAGAGCUACGAUGCCCUUACCAGCACCCCUCUGGGAGACGAAUAACCAUUGCCCUGCUGUGCUGCAUCUCAGGAAGGACAGGGCUCCUUCUGAAAUGAACUUCUAUUAGUGCCAAUAGGAAUUGCCAGUAAAGAAGCACUGGUCAAGCUGGUUUGUCUGGAUAUAGGUUGAGAACUUUAUCUAGAUGGCACAGUAUGCUUUCCCGGUUUUGUAGGAAGCAACCGUUUGGUAAAUAAUGUCUCUGUUACACAGGCAACGUACAUCCACAGCUACAGUUAUCAGUACAGUGUUGGUUACCAUUAAGGCAUGUAGCAGUGCUGCUUUUGCUUAAUUAGGCUUGAUUACACAAAAAGUAGUCAAGAAACUACUCUGCUAGAGGGACAUUUUGAAGAAAUAUCUCAGGUCUCUUUUAAUCUGAUCAAAACAGCAUUUCUUAAAAUGCAUGGAUUAUACCAUCAUGCAGCAUGGGAUAUUUCAUCCCAUACGAUUAAGAUUUUACAAAGUUAACAGUAACUGGAUCUUACAAAGUGAACUGUCAGUUUCAAUAGUUAUUAGCAUGGCUGGCCUGAUGCAUAACAUGUCUGAACUAACCAUUCAGUUUCAUUAUGUCUGGAUAUGCCUAUGCCAUAUCUAUACCACAUAAAACAGCAACAUUAAUUUUUUAGAAGCAGAAAAUGCCACAGCUAAUCAUUAAAAUUGAACUGGCUUAGCUUGUUAGCUAACCAGUACUUCCUUCCAUCCUCCACAAAGAACGCUCAUGAAUGAACUUCGUCAGAUUCAAAGAAUUGAAUAAAGACUAAUCAUCCACCUCCAGCCGCUUAGAAUUCCCUGCUCUCCUACUAUAAUAUGCAUAACAACAAAUAACAGUAAAAAUAUUCUAGACAGUCAGCUAUGUUUUCAUUCGAAGCACAGAGAACUAAUCCACUGCAAUUUGGCUUGUGCAUUGUUCCUUGGAAAUGAAUUCAUUGGGCUUGAUUAUUUUUUGCUUUGAUUUAAUCAUGUUUUACACCCACAUUACAGUCACAUAAAUGACUGUGGUAGGAAAUAUUCAUGUUUCUGCUUUCAGAGCUGCAAACUUUUAUAAUAAACUUUAAGAGUGUAAAUAUUGUCGCUAAAGAUUACGCAUUAGUUGCAAUAUUUAUUUGACCUGGGCCUUUAAAAUCACUACACUGUAAAAUUACGUUCACACAAUAUGUCAAUCUAUCUUGUAACUUGUAAUCUAACUUGCAAGUAUUGGGAUUUGUACUCACAUUCAUGAGCACUCAGUACUUUACCAACCAGUUUAUCUA
This is a long non-coding RNA of Gallus gallus (chicken), 3790 nucleotides long. RefSeq lists it as uncharacterized. The transcript has 4 exons. NCBI's taxonomy places the organism in Eukaryota, Metazoa, Chordata, Aves, Galliformes, Phasianidae. The record is from RefSeq and is a predicted model, not a curated record.